GACACUGGCUCAGGAUGAACGCUGGCGGCGCGCCUAACACAUGCAAGUCGAACGAGCGAGAGAGAGCUUGCUUUCUCGAGCGAGUGGCGAACGGGUGAGUAACGCGUGAGGAACCUGCCUCAAAGAGGGGGACAACAGUUGGAAACGACUGCUAAUACCGCAUAAGCCCACAGGUCGGCAUCGACCAGAGGGAAAAGGAGCAAUCCGCUUUGAGAUGGCCUCGCGUCCGAUUAG
RNAcentral lists this ribosomal RNA (234 nucleotides) under uncultured bacterium. Its description in RNAcentral is "partial 16S ribosomal RNA". It matches the Rfam family "Bacterial small subunit ribosomal RNA", at positions 15 to 244 of the family's 1533-position model. The record is from RNAcentral.